UUUCCAGUUUUCUUCCUCUCGCCGACGUAACUUUCCGGUGUCGCUGCCGCCUCGUCCGACCACCUACGGCCAUGAAAUUGGUGUCCAUCUCUUUGCCUUGAAACAAGGCUUCUAUCUAUAUAUGCCUUGCACCCUAUCAUUCACCAUAGACGACGAAUCGAAGCCAACAAGUUCACUGUAGCAGCUCGGGUUUUCUGGAAAUUUUCCAGAUUCCGGCCAUCUGCGGCGGCAUUUUUGAGCUUGAUCGAUGCGCCUCGAGACGUGGAUGAUAUCCCUCCAAGCUUUUUUCCACAAAUCGAAGUGAAAUUGACGAAUCGAAGAUGAGAAAGAUGUUUGGAUGGUUGAGACGAAGCUGCUGCCAAAAUUUAGUGGCCGGAGGCGGAGGUUGCUGGUGUGGGAACAUUGCGGUGAACAGUGACUGCGGGCGACGUGCCAAGCUACUGCUCGACGUAGGAAACCUGUAGCGUGGUCGCCUAAACAGUACUGUGAGUUGACAUUUAUUUAAAUUAAUUGUGCAUGCAGUAUAUUAGCAUUUUCCGAUUGAGAUUUAAUUUAUAAUUUGAAUUAUUGAGUUUUAUGGUUUUAUGAGAUUUAUUUUAUUGAGCUUGAUUUCUUGAG
This is a long non-coding RNA of Rosa chinensis, 618 nucleotides long. RefSeq lists it as uncharacterized. The transcript has 3 exons. Lineage: Eukaryota; Viridiplantae; Streptophyta; Magnoliopsida; Rosales; Rosaceae. The record is from RefSeq and is a predicted model, not a curated record.